UGGGGAAUAUUGGACAAUGGGCGAAAGCCUGAUCCAGCCAUGCCGCGUGUGUGAAGAAGGCCUUUUGGUUGUAAAGCACUUUAAGUGGGGAGGAAAAGCUUGUGGUUAAUACCCAUAAGCCCUGACGUUACCCACAGAAUAAGCACCGGCUAACUCUGUGCCAGCAGCCGCGGUAAUACAGAGGGUGCAAGCGUUAAUCGGAAUUACUGGGCGUAAAGCGCGCGUAGGUGGUUAUUUAAGUCAGAUGUGAAAGCCCCGGGCUUAACCUGGGAACUGCAUCUGAUACUGGAUAACUAGAGUAGGUGAGAGGGGAGUAGAAUUCCAGGUGUAGCGGUGAAAUGCGUAGAGAUCUGGAGGAAUACCGAUGGCGAAGGCAGCUCCCUGGCAUCAUACUGACACUGGGGUGCGAAAGCGUGGGUAGCAAACAGGAUUAGAUACCCUGGUAGUCCACGCCGUAAACGAUGUCUACCAGUCGUUGGGUCUUUUAAAGACUUAGUGACGCAGUUAACGCAAUAAGUAGACCGCCUGGGGAGUACGGCCGCAAGGUUA
RNAcentral lists this ribosomal RNA (549 nucleotides) under uncultured bacterium. Its description in RNAcentral is "bacterial SSU rRNA". It matches the Rfam family "Bacterial small subunit ribosomal RNA", at positions 355 to 896 of the family's 1533-position model. The record is from RNAcentral.